This 654-nucleotide ribosomal RNA is filed under the name Triticum aestivum (bread wheat). RNAcentral describes it as "partial small subunit ribosomal RNA". The record is from RNAcentral. Lineage: Eukaryota; Viridiplantae; Streptophyta; Magnoliopsida; Poales; Poaceae.
AUGGCCACCUGCCUCUCUGACAUAAUAAGUGACCAUUCCAUUGAUUUCCUGGGUUUGCAAGAGACUCUGAAGAGAGACUUUCCCCCUAAACUUACUAGAAAAUUCGACCCCUUUGGCUCUUUCCAUUGGGAAUGGGUGCCUGCUGUGGGUAGAUCUGGUGGUAUUUUGUGUGGCAUUCGUAACAACACCCUGGAGUUGUUAGGGUGCACUAAAGGCAAGUAUAUCUUGCAGAUGGAUGUCAGGAACAUUAAAGAUAAAACAGCCUGGAGUUUUCUAGUGGUGUAUGGAUCGGCUCAUGAGGAGUUCAGGGAGGAGUUCCUGAGAGAACUAGCUCUUUUUUGCCAUAAUACAGAAUUACCCUAUAUAGUUGGAGGGGACUUUAAUAUCCUUAGGCACAAUGGUGAUAAGAACAAGAAAAUGCAGCAUUCUAAAUCUACGGAUCUGUUCAAUGCCAUUAUCAACACUCUUGGCCUUAGAGAGAUGUAUAUGAGUGGUGGCCAAUAUACUUGGUCCAAUAACCAGUCACACCCUACGCUUGAAAAGUUGGAUAGGGUGCUCAUAUCUGACUCCUGGGAACACUUAUUCCCAUUGGCAUCUUUAAGAAAAUUGGUCAGAGAGCUCUCUGACCACAACCCUCUCCUCCUAUACACUGAC